UGGGGAAUUUUGGACAAUGGGCGCAAGCCUGAUCCAGCCAUGCCGCGUGCAGGAUGAAGGCCUUCGGGUUGUAAACUGCUUUUGUACGGAACGAAAAGACUCUGGUUAAUACCUGGGGUCCAUGACGGUACCGUAAGAAUAAGCACCGGCUAACUACGUGCCAGCAGCCGCGGUAAUACGUAGGGUGCGAGCGUUAAUCGGAAUUACUGGGCGUAAAGCGUGCGCAGGCGGUUAUAUAAGACAGAUGUGAAAUCCCCGGGCUCAACCUGGGAACUGCAUUUGUGACUGUAUAGCUAGAGUACGGCAGAGGGGGAUGGGAAUUCCGCGUGUAGCAGUGAAAUGCGUAGAUAUGCGGAGGAACACCGAUGGCGAAGGCAAUCCCCUGGGCCUGUACUGACGCUCAUGCACGAAAGCGUGGGGAGCAAACAGGAUUAGAUACCCUCGUAGUCCCUGAGCGGGCUGGCAAGGCGCAU
This 473-nucleotide ribosomal RNA is filed under the name uncultured bacterium. RNAcentral's name for it is "bacterial SSU rRNA". It matches the Rfam family "Bacterial small subunit ribosomal RNA", at positions 355 to 825 of the family's 1533-position model. The record is from RNAcentral.